RNAcentral lists this small nuclear RNA (113 nucleotides) under Rhinolophus ferrumequinum (greater horseshoe bat). RNAcentral's name for it is "U2 spliceosomal RNA (ENSRFEG00010020827.1)". It matches the Rfam family "U2 spliceosomal RNA". Rfam says of the family: U2 is a small nuclear RNA (snRNA) component of the spliceosome (involved in pre-mRNA splicing). Complementary binding between U2 snRNA (in an area lying towards the 5' end but 3' to hairpin I) and the branchpoint sequence (BPS) of the intron results the bulging out of an unpaired adenosine, on the BPS, which initiates a nucleophilic attack at the intronic 5' splice site, thus starting the first of two transesterification reactions that mediate splicing. The record is from RNAcentral. Lineage: Eukaryota; Metazoa; Chordata; Mammalia; Chiroptera; Rhinolophidae.
AUCACUUCUUGGCCUUUUGGCUGAGAUCAACUGUAAUAUCUGAUCUUAAUCCAUUUAAAAUGGCCAGCCAGCCUGGCUUGCUAGAACCUGGCUCUUAUUCCUGAGGACCAGCU